CCUACGGGCGGCAGCAGUGGGGAAUAUUGGACAAUGGGGGGAACCCUGAUCCAGCCAUGCCGCGUGUGUGAAGAAGGCCCUCGGGUUGUAAAGCACUUUCAGUGAGGAAGAACGCCUGGUGGUUAAUACCCAUCAGGAAAGACAUCACCCACAGAAGAAGCACCGGCUAACUCCGUGCCAGCAGCCGCGGUAAUACGGAGGGUGCGAGCGUUAAUCGGAAUUACUGGGCGUAAAGCGCGCGUAGGUGGCUUGAUAAGCCGGUUGUGAAAGCCCCGGGCUCAACCUGGGAACGGCAUCCGGAACUGUCAAGCUAGAGUGCAGGAGAGGAAGGUAGAAUUCCCGGUGUAGCGGUGAAAUGCGUAGAGAUCGGGAGGAAUACCAGUGGCGAAGGCGGCCUUCUGGACUGACACUGACACUGAGGUGCGAAAGCGUGGGUAGCAAACAGGAUUAGAUACCCCAGUAGUC
RNAcentral lists this ribosomal RNA (465 nucleotides) under Vreelandella stevensii. Its description in RNAcentral is "partial 16S ribosomal RNA". It matches the Rfam family "Bacterial small subunit ribosomal RNA", at positions 338 to 795 of the family's 1533-position model. The record is from RNAcentral. Lineage: Bacteria; Pseudomonadati; Pseudomonadota; Gammaproteobacteria; Oceanospirillales; Halomonadaceae.